CUUUCAACGAAUGAUAUAUCAUGAAGAGAUAUGUGAAAAACACCUUGAGGAUUGAUUCUAAACAACGUUUACCAUGUUUCAGUCGAUAUUAUGGAGUUAAUUUGGAAAACAGUUUGGCGUUUUGAAGACUGAAUUUUCGGGGUUUUUUGGUAGCCAAACGUGACGCACCAAACGAAGCAAUUUCUCCUAAACAAGUAAUCUUUCAGGAAAAACUGAGCAUUUGCUAUCUAACUGAGAGUCUCCUCAUUGAAAACAUCUGAAGUUCUUCAAAGGUAGGUUGCAUUGUCUCGCACAGGAGACUGAAUAUCUUUAUUCCAAUCCUGAGGCUCUACGGUGAAGCAGAGGGGUGCCUCAGUACAUGGUUGGGGAAAGCACCUAGAGGUCUUGAUCUUCAUAUACUGGCUAGCCCACAGCCUUUCCUAUAGGGUAGUAGACAGCACCUUCAGUGUCCUGAAACCAACCGUAUGCCGAAUAGUUCAUAGGAUUGGAUGAAAGAUCAGUAACAAUCUGAAGAAGACCAUCAAAGCAAUGUGUUCAACAAUGCAGUUGGGUCAUCGAUGGUUGCCACAUAUGCAUCAAGUCACUAGCACUGGAAAGGCAGGACUACUUAAAUUACAAACAGCUCUACUCCAUCCAGAUGCAGGCCAUCUGUGAUGUAACGGGGAGGUUCCUGGACAUCUUUGUUGCCUAUGCAGGGUCAGUCCACGAGACCAGAGUCCUGAAAAACAGUUCCUUCUGCCAGACCGUCAGCUACCCAGCACCAGGCUUCUUCUUGUUGGGCCUCCAUACCAGGAGAGCUAUGUCCAACUCAUUACCUCGUUAAGGCAACCUACCCAGGGAUAGAUUCAGAAGCGGUUCAAUGCCAUACAUACGAGGGCUCGCAAUAUGGUGGAGCAAUCCUAUGGGCAAAUUAAGGCAAGAUGGCCUUGGAGGGGCAAGUCCCCUUCUGGCCCGAGGUGGUGGCGGCAUGUGCAUUCCUGCCCAAUGUGUAGGAAUCUCUGCCUCUCUCCUCCCUAUCUCCGCCCUCUCGCUCCCUCCCUCUUUAUAAAUAGA
Molecule: long non-coding RNA, 1053 nt
Organism: Oncorhynchus tshawytscha (Chinook salmon)
Lineage: Eukaryota; Metazoa; Chordata; Actinopteri; Salmoniformes; Salmonidae
Source: Ensembl